This 460-nucleotide ribosomal RNA is filed under the name uncultured bacterium. Its description in RNAcentral is "partial 16S ribosomal RNA". It matches the Rfam family "Bacterial small subunit ribosomal RNA", at positions 338 to 795 of the family's 1533-position model. The record is from RNAcentral.
CCUACGGGAGGCAGCAGUGGGGAAUAUUGGUCAAUGGACGAAAGUCUGAACCAGCCACGUAGCGUGAAGGAUGACUGCCCUAUGGGUUGUAAACUUCUUUUAUAUGGGAGUAAAGUGGUCCACGUGUGGUAUUUUGUAUGUACCAUAUGACUAAGGAGCGGCUAACUCCGUGCCAGCAGCCGCGGUAAUACGGAGGAUCCGAGCGUUAUCCGGAUUUAUUGGGUUUAAAGGGAGCGUAGGUGGAUUGUUAAGUCAGUUGUGAAAGUUUGCGGCUCAACCGUAAAAUUGCAGUUGAAACUGGCAGUCUUGAGUACAGGAGAGGUCGGCGGAAUUCGUGGUGUAGCGGUGAAAUGCUUAGAUAUAACGAAGAACACCGAUUGCGAAGGCAGCUCACUGGACUGCAACUGACACUGAGGCGCGAAAGCGUGGGUAGCAAACAGGAUUAGAUACCCGUGUAGUC